AAUUGUCUAAGUAAUCAUAAUUAAUAAUGCCUGAAUUCACCUUAAUCAGGCCCAAAAAGCCCUAAACUGUUGUUAUUUAACCUUUAGCCUGCUGUUGGCAGUGUCGGCAAGUGAUUCUGCCUUUGCGACCAGUGCAUAAAGUCUGUUGGUAAAUGAAUACUAAUCAGUUAACUUGAAGUCAAUGUUGACUGUAAGAUAUUUUGAAGACUUUGUGAAUUACCCUUUACCCUCCUAAAUUUCUAAAAUGGACUGGUCUAUCAUUCAAUCUGGACAAUACAAUUUAUCAUUCAGGGGGGUGUUCACUGAAAAUUUAUUGAUAGCAUAGUGAACAGUGCAGACCAAGAUCAGCCUGACCAUCCAUGAGUUAGGACCACGUGUGAGGCACAUGCUGUUCUCUAUGACAUUAUUUGUACUCAAUCUCUGUUUCAUAUGGGGAAUUGGCAGUUACAGAGAACAAGUUUGUACUGCUACAGAAUCCAGGAACACUGGUAAGGUUAAAUGCCUGCCAGAAAAAAACUGAAAUAUUGUUGAAAAAUAGCAUUGAACUCAAAAUAAAAAACAAACAAAUCUUUUGCAGUGCAUUGGGAAGUAACAGUAAAGCAGAAUACCUACAGUCCAUGAAGUUGAGAAAUGAAGAAAUGCAGCUCUGAAUUGUUUAAUACGGUGUGUGGGGAAAACAUUGUGGAUAUGAAGCAUAGAAAUCAUGUGUCAAGCUGAACACAGACAAAACAUGCUUUUUUGUAAAAAUAAAACAUAUUUUACAAUGGAAGGGAGUGUGAAGUAACAGUAACACGGAAUGGCUGGAGACCAUUAACUUAAGAACUGAAGAGAUACAGGUCAUUGUUCUAUAUGGUGAUUGAUGGAACCAUGGUGCAGUUUUGAAUUGAUAAGGUGUGCAGUUACAGAAAAGCAGAAUAGCUACAGACCAUGAAAGUUAGAAAAUGAAGAGAUGCAUGUCUCAGUUCAGCAUGGUGUAUAUGGGAAACAUUGUGUAUAGCAGACCUCUGUUCAACAUGGUGUAUAUGGGAAACAUUGUGGGUCACAGACAUGAAAUGGUUUGUGUGAAGUAACAGUAAAGAAGAAUGGCUACAGACAAUUAGUUCAGAAUUGAAGAGAUGCAGGCUUUUGUUUUAUAUGGUGUAUGAGGGAACCAUGGUGGAAAUUUGGAUUUCAUGGCAGUCAUAGAAAUAUCUAAUAAGUCUAUAAGACAGUGAUGUGUGUAUCAGUCUGUCCGGCUCAUAUGUGUCUGUCCAGUCGACAAAUUGGCAAUGGAUGUGUAGAUUUUCAAAUAAUU
This is a long non-coding RNA of Mercenaria mercenaria, 1294 nucleotides long. RefSeq lists it as uncharacterized. The transcript has 5 exons. The record is from RefSeq and is a predicted model, not a curated record. NCBI's taxonomy places the organism in Eukaryota, Metazoa, Mollusca, Bivalvia, Venerida, Veneridae.